Molecule: ribosomal RNA, 467 nt
Filed under: uncultured bacterium
Lineage: Bacteria
Description: partial 16S ribosomal RNA
Rfam family: Bacterial small subunit ribosomal RNA
Source: RNAcentral
GACGUACGCUGGCGGCGUGCUUAACACAUGCAAGUCGAACGGAAAGGCCCUGCUUUUGUGGGGUGCUCGAGUGGCGAACGGGUGAGUAACACGUGAGUAACCUGCCCUUGACUUUGGGAUAACUUCAGGAAACUGGGGCUAAUACCGGAUAGGAGCUCCUGCUGCAUGGUGGGGGUUGGAAAGUUUCGGCGGUUGGGGAUGGACUCGCGGCUUAUCAGCUUGUUGGUGGGGUAGUGGCUUACCAAGGCUUUGACGGGUAGCCGGCCUGAGAGGGUGACCGGCCACAUUGGGACUGAGAUACGGCCCAGACUCCUACGGGAGGCAGCAGUGGGGAAUAUUGCACAAUGGGCGGAAGCCUGAUGCAGCAACGCCGCGUGCGGGAUGACGCCUUCGGGUUGUAAACCGCUUUCGCCUGUGACGAAGCGUGAGUGACGGUAAUGGGUAAAGAAGCACCGGCUAACUACGUG